AAGUGUUGGCCCAUUUAGUCAGUCCAAAAACCUAUACAGCAACCCAUCGUUCCAAUAACCUUUUCACUCUAAGAUUUUCAAUUUAGCUCAGGCCAUUCCCAAAUAUCCUUGACCCGGAACACUCCAAAGCACAGAAACCCAACUGUUCCUUACUCUUCUUCACAUUAACAAAAUCUCCCAUAACGACAACAACGACCAACGACGAUCUAUCAAAAUACACGGAAAGCAGCAAAAGACAUAAGUCAGUCCUUUGUCGUCUUUGGCCUGUCCAUUCGCAGUAGCAAAAAGCAGAUAAAGAAGUUGUGAUUCCGUCCUUGUGUCUUUGAGAUGGAUCCACGUCUCUCCCCAUGGACAGUGAAUCCAUCCGAUCCAUCAAUUCGCCCUUUCCUCUUCCGGAAUGAGUCCGGGUUUUGGAUCCAAAUUUGCCCCACCUUUCAAAAGAAAUUGUGACAUAAUUCUUCCUCCAUAUGUAUAUCCUUUUCUCAUUUCUUUGUAAGGGACGACAGAUUAUGGUGGGAGAAAAAAUUAGUAAGAGAUAAAUUAUUAGUUCAUUUCGUUCUUAGAUCGAUAUCUCUGUCCAAACUUCCGAUUUGCUGUCUGUCUUUGAUACUUGGCAUGGUGGAGGCGUCGUCUUCUGUUCAUCAUACUGUUCGCUGCUCCAAAGAAGGUAUACUACAUCAUUUUGUUUAGUUCCCUUUCAUAUUCUAUUUAUAGUUUGUUGUUUUUGUAGAUGAUAGAUUUUUAUACCUUCUAUGCUUAUUUAAAUAUAAAUUCAUCACUGCUAAUAUAGUUGUAUUUUCUUGUGUUUGCUCGUUUUAGUGUAAGUUUCUAGUAAUAGUUAGAUUCUUUUGUUUUGAUGAUCUAAUCUUUUCUCAUUCAUGAAUGUGUAUGUAUAUGUGGAAGAGUUGGUCCCCUGAAUUUGUUGCUCUCACUUUUUUUAGUAUAGUUGUGAUUGAUUCCAAAAUGUCAUAUCGAUCCUAAUAUGUUUUGCUCAUUGUAAAAGCCGUAGUAAUGCUUUAUGUUAGACAUCAUGUUCUUCAUUCUUACACCUCGAGUUGGAUGAAUGAGUCUAAGACGUCAAGAUUUUGUUUUUUCUCUCGUGUCUAGUGCUUUCGUUCUACAUAUUUUGCUUUGGAUUAUUGAAUUGGACUUGGAGUUUUGGUUCUUGUUUUGUGUAUGUUCCCAUCCCAAAUUUUAUCUUCCUUUUGUCUUGUUUUAGCCGUUGGCUUCUACCAAUUUUCCCUCUAACUAACUUCCCUGUAUCUGCUUACUGUGUUUAAGUUUUCUAUUACACCUCUAUUUUUAGUUCAUGGGUUUGUUAAUUUUCAGUAAUGAAGCGUGGUUCUUGAGUCCUUGCAAUUUAUGUAAUUGUAUCAGUUGGUGUCUUCGAUUUAGUUGUUGAAGUUCUUUUGCGAGGUAGUAGAAGUUUUUCUUGGAAAAUAAAAAUGGUAUAUAUAUAUAUAUAUAUAUAUAUAUAUAUAUAUAUAUUUAUCUUAUAUGUAGCAUUUAUAGUUGUCACAUGCUUAGCUUCGAUUUGAUGCUCUUAUAAGUGGAGGGACAUUUUGGAGAGAGAGAGAGGGCCGAAAAUUGGCCUUUGAGUAAAGUCCUGCUACACCCGUGUUCGAACCUAGGUGGAAGCAAUGAUUUAAAUUAUUUUUAUUUAAAUUGGUAAAUUAACUUAAUUAAUUAAUAUUUAUUAUCCGAUUUAAUAAAAAGGAAAAUCAGAUUUUCUUUAAAGGGUUGAAUGAGUCCUAGUUUGACUAAGUCCUUACCUAAGCCUAACUAUCUUGCACGUUUCUCUCUCUCAGGUCAAUACCUCACUUUCACGAUCAUUAUCUCUUCUUUUUCACGUUUCUCUUCCAAGAAAAAAUAUUAAAGCAUAAAAUUACUAAAUUUCUUCACACUUGAAGAACUUACAUGAAAAUAUAAGAAAAACAAGCUAAUCAAAAACGUUAGGCAAAAGGGAGGAUUAUUCCAUCGAUUUGGUGCUGAAGUUGAGGGGAUUUAGACGUGAUUUUUGGACUAGGUUUUCAGAAGCAAGUAAAGUUUUGAACUACAUAAAAGGUAUGUGUUUUCUUACUCUUGGUAUCUUUCCCAAGAGACCCUUAGGACUCAAAUGAAUAUACUCCAAAAACUAGGGUUGUUCCCCUUUACAUGUUCCCUAUAUCUAGCUCCCGUCGAUUUGUAGGUUGGGUAUGUUUGCUGGUAGAAAUUAGAGAUGUAAUGUGUUUUCGUGUUGAUUAUGCUCAUGUAUGUAUGUUCGGAGUUAUGUGAAUUUAAGCAUGUUGUUCGAAAUUAUGUGUUUAUGUGUGUGCAAUGUGUAGACGUGACAUAUACUCUUAGUUUGAUGUUCGAAAAUGACAUGUUAUGGUUGUAUUCUUACAUGCACAAACUUGUAUAAAUCUUGAUGUUCAUAUGAAGUAUAAUGUGGCUGGUUUGAAUGGAAAUUAUUAGCUUAAUGAAUCCACGAAAAUGUACCUAAAGAUGUACUAAAUGAACCAUGAAUUACCCUAAAAACUAACAUGUAAACAUUCGUGAAAAUGAGCUGAAAAACGUACAAAAUUUCCAACAUCUUGUUGAUGAGUUUCAGCCAAGAUAAGUGAUGUAAAAAAAUGUUGAUUUGAGUGCAAACUAUUUAUAGAAUGUGAUCUUCAAAAUGCACCUAAAGAACUCGUUAAAAGCUACUACAAAAGUGUACACAUUUAACGUGAACGAGGUGAGAAAGUAGGCUGCAAAAAUUUGAUAAAAAUUCCAGCACUUUGAUGUUAGUUUUGGUCAAGCUAAGUCAAUUAACAUGUUAUAAAAAAUGAAGAAAAAUAAGUGAGGUCACUGAGGAUCGAACUCGUGACUUCAUCAUGUAAAAAUUCAAAACAAUAAUGUACGUUAAAGGAAUGUGGUAAGGGGGAUUUGAACCCGUGACUUUGACCGAAAAUGUAAUUCUAAAAAUAAGAAAUGAGAGGAGUGGGAUUCGAACCCACAACCUCUCAGCCAGACUUAAGGAAUUAAAAAGAAAAUAAAGGUGGAGGCGUGUGGGAAUCGAACCCACGGCCUCUAGGCUGAUUAAGGGAACUAAAGAAAAAAAAUAAAGUGAUGCCGUGGAGAUUCCAUCCCACAACCUCACGAUCAACUCGAAAAAGUCAAGGAAAAUAAACUAAAAGAAAUAAGGUUGUUGGGGAUCAAUCCCACAACAUAUCGAUCCCUAAUGAACGAAAAGGAAAAAGAAAUAAAAAAUAAGGAAAAGUAAAUGUUGGCACUGGGCUCGAUCUCGGGUCCCCUACCGAAGUGAGGUUAAGUAAAAAAUAAUUUAAAAGACAAGUGUUAACCAAGGGAUUCGAAACCAGGUUCUUUUGCCCAAAUUCCGUAUUGAUACAUAAGUCAUACGUGAAUAAAUGUUCAAAAAUAAUGUUGCCUACAUAGAUCAAAAUUGAGAUCUUCGCACACUUACAAGAUGCAUAAGUCUUGUACCACACAAUCUUAGGAAGAUAUGGAUCACUUAAAUGAACUAUGAGUGAAGCGUCACGACUUUUAUGUAUAGACCAUAAAUCUAGCAUACGUUUAAAGUAAGUGAACUUAAGAUGUAUGUAACGAAAUGAUACAACCCUAGAAGGGUCAAGUAAGAGUGUGAGACACACUAAAUGGCCUAGUGCAUUGGCAUAUGAUGAAAUGAACAUUCACGUAAAGAGGUGAGUAAUUAUGAAAAGCAAAUGUGCUAAAGUUAAUGAAUGAGGUGACAAAAUGAUAAGAGGCUAAUGUGAAAGAUGAGAGCAAUCUAAAAUAAGCCUAAGUAAAUGUUAACAAAACGUACUCACCUAUGAGAGUGUAAAGUUAAUAAAAAGACCAGUCUCUAUGAACACUCUAAUGAAAGUAUUGAAGUUAAUGCAUACUUUAUACUAAUGAUGAGAUGAUAAAUCAUCUAAUGAGCUAUGAUGUCCUCAUACUAAAAUCCAGCUUCCAUGAUGUAUGAGUUGAAUGUAAUAGAACUUUAUACUGAGCAGCGAUAGGCUAGCUAUGAGCAAUGAUGCCUUCCUUCAGAAAGGGCGGAGGUUCACGUAACUCUCAUGAGAUGAGAAUGUUAGGCAUGCCGGGUAUGGGUCUCUUUAUAUCUCCUAGUCUUUGAACCUAUACUACCAAUAUAGGGAUCUAGCUGGGUUCAAUCCCCUAUAUACGCUAGCAUUUUUGGGUUCACUUUGGCCGGUGAUUCCACCUCUUUUUGGUGUGGGGCAGACACUGGAAUUCAUAAUGCUCACAUGAUCUAUGUCGGUUAAAGUUAAAGUUCCCAAUCAAUGAAUGAGGCUACCCUCAAGUGAUGUACAUAAUGAAAUGAAUGAUACCAAAGGUGUUAGGAUAGGAUAAUCAAGAGGUGAUCUUGACUUAAGUAAUGACACUAGGUCAUUCUUGAUCAUUGCAAAGGGAAGAACCCGAUGAAAGUCUUAAACUACAUCCUAGGUAUAGCUGGUGUUUACACUAGCUUAUGAAUUUAUGAAGUGAAAUACAUAUGAAUGAAUGAAGAAGACUCUGUGUUUGAUAAAGAAGUCUCCCUAGUUUACGUCCCAUAUGUUGAGCCCUCAUUAUUGGGAAGUUUUGAUGUCAAGUCCAUGAUUCCAAAGGUUCAUGGCAUAUGCACGAAUUAUAUGAAAGAUGUUAUGUGUUAUAUGCAAUAUGAUAUGUGUUAUGUGUAAGAUGUUAUGUGUUGUGUGCAAUAUGAUACGUAUUAUGAUGCAUGUUACUCUCAUGGCAUGACUUUCCUAAUCCAAUUUGGCAAGUCCACUGACUUGACCUUCCACAAAUCAUGUUGUUAGGAAAGAGCUAUUCUUACUGAUGCAUGUCCUUGGUAUAUGCUUGCAUAUACCAAUACUUAGUACAAGUAUGUACUAAUCCCAUACAAUAUCUAAUUUUAGGUGCAGGCACUGGUGGACGCUAGAGCUUACGGUACAACAUUACAGUUAUCCAAACGUGGAGCUUAUAUCCGGACUUGGUAGGCCCUCAUGCUAUCGAGGAUGUCUACCGUUAUUAUCUAGCUUAGAUGUAGGCUUUAGCUAGUGGAGCAUGUUUCACUAGUGUUUCAUUUCCCAUUUCAUUUCAGACUUUUUAUUGGUGUCGUUUUGGCAAGGACACAUUUAAUGCAAUUAUGAACUGCUUCUUUCAUUUGAUUAUCACAAUAUUAGAUAGUUGAUUUGUGAACGCCUUUGAUGUAACUAUAAUAUGUUUCGCAUGAAAUAAGAAAAAAAAAGUUCAAAAUUUUCCCUAAAAUUAACCUAGAUGAAGUAAGUAUGACGUAUGUAUGCUUGCCUGCGACCUCUGAGAAGUCAACGACGUCGGAGUCAUCUGCGGUCUAUAUUUCGGUCGUGACCCCAGGAAGGUUUACAUGGAAAAUAUCCACAAACUCAUGCACUAUCAAAACAAAUUCAAUUAAAAGGAAUUGAACUAUCAUUUCUAAGAUGAGUCUAAAAGACUAAACUUCAGUUACUUACCAAGAUCUUAGCAUGAAUAAUAGAUAAUCCAAAUUGGGAAGGGAAUAUAGUCACCCUCCACACCAACGGAUCUAUCCUUGGCUUAGCAAAGGUCAAAGUCUUAGCAUUGCAAUUUAAGAUAGCAAAAUUUAGAGAAAACUAUGUCAUACCCAAAAUUUUAUCAAAGUCAACUAUUUCUAAAAUAAUCAAACUUGCAGAAGUGCACCCUAGAAGUUAGGGCACCCUUAAGUCGCCACACAACGGACUCGACCUCUCGGAGGUUGUAUAUAUAUGGACAAUAAAAUAAACUCCGCCAACAUAAGUGGACCGGACCACACGUGUUCGACAUUCCAGGUAACUCAGGAAGCUCAACAUAUAAAAAAGUUGAUACAACAUUAUAUUGCUUCUUUCAUGAAAGUUGAAGAUAAGAUUGAAAACGUUCGGAGACAUUGAGGAAAAAAAAGUAUUGGAGAAGUAGCUUGCUUGACUUCGGUUCUUUGGUGGAGGUAGGUUAUGGUUAUGCUAUUUGAUAGUAAACUCUUAAUAGUGACUGAUAUGCAUUGAAUGAUAUUGUGGAGUUUUCUAUGUACUUGAUUGUGUGAUUGUGUGGCUUGGUCAUGUAUUUUUUUUUGUGAUUGGUCUGCAAUCCCGAGACCGUGGAAUGUAUAAUCUUAAACUAUCUCUAUUGAAGUGAUGGCUUGAAUAAAGAAGGCUCAAUGAAAUAUUAUUAGCGAAUGGAAGAGUGGUGAUAUUAAAUGAUAAAUUAAUGAUAUUCUUGGAUUGGAGUGUCACGUUCCGACACGAUAUUUUUGGAUCGGAGUGUCACGUUCCGACACGAUAUUCUUGGAUCGGAGUGUCACGUUCCAACACAUUAUUCUUGGACCGGAGUGUCACGUUCCGACACACUAAUAUUAAAGGAAAAACAUGUUGAAUUAAUGGAAAGUACUUAAUCUCAAAGAACUCAACUCUCGAAAUGGUUUUGUUUGGAGGCAUGAGUCCUCAUGUGUGAUCUUGACAUCAUUGACUUAUUACGAGCUUACUUUAAUGUUGUUGACGCUUGUUCAUGUUGUUUGUUGUUUAUCACCUGUUAAGUGCUAUGGUUGAGUUCAUACUAUUUUUAUUGAAUAUUAGUUCCUAUUUUGAGUUGGCCGAUGAUAUCUACUUAGUACAUGUUGCCCCCGUACUGAGUCCUACUUGUGUUUUUCUUUGUUUUCCUUUUAUGAAAUGCAGUGAGUGUACCUAUGACUUCAGAUUUCUCUCAGCUCUAGCCAGCCUCCCGCAUAUCAAGUUCCAGGGUGAGCUAUUCAUUCAAGCUCGUGUUGGAUUCUUUCGGUCAUGACAUGAUGUCCUAUACUUUCGGACACAUACCAUUUUAUUCUUUUAUUUUGGUGUAUUUGAUAUUCUUAGACUUAGUAUUGGAGAUUGAUGUCCUUGAUGUGAUGACUUUCAGGUUUUAGGAAAUGAUAUUUAGUAACAUUUGAGUUUUCGCGUUAUGCUUGUAUUUUGUAAAUUAGGUUAAAUUGAUUUGUUCGCCCACUUAGGAGGUUAAAUGUGGGUGCCAGACCCAAAACGCGUCGUAACUAUAUAUAUAUAUACAUAUAUAUAUAUGUAUAUAUAUAUAUAUGUAUAUAUAUGUGUAUAUACAUAUAUAUGUAUAUAUAUGUGUAUAUACAUAUAUAUGUAUAUAUAUGUGUGUGUGUGUGUAUAUAUAUAUAUAUAUAUAUGAAAGUGC
RNAcentral lists this long non-coding RNA (7182 nucleotides) under Solanum lycopersicum (tomato). RNAcentral's name for it is "long non-coding RNA (SLYC_LNC000423)". The record is from RNAcentral. Lineage: Eukaryota; Viridiplantae; Streptophyta; Magnoliopsida; Solanales; Solanaceae.